AGGCCUACGGGAGGCAGCAGUGGGGGAUAUUGGACAAUGGGGGAAACCCUGAUCCAGCGACGCCGCGUGAGUGAAGAAGUAUUUCGGUAUGUAAAGCUCUGUCAGCAGGGAAGAAAGAAAUGACGGUACCUGACCAAGAAGCCCCGGCUAACUACGUGCCAGCAGCCGCGGUAAUACGUAGGGGGCAAGCGUUAUCCGGAAUUACUGGGUGUAAAGGGUGCGUAGGUGGCAGGGCAAGUCAGAUGUGAAAGCCCGGGGCUCAACCCCGGUACUGCAUUUGAAACUGUCCAGCUGGAGUGCAGGAG
RNAcentral lists this ribosomal RNA (305 nucleotides) under uncultured bacterium. RNAcentral describes it as "bacterial SSU rRNA". It matches the Rfam family "Bacterial small subunit ribosomal RNA", at positions 335 to 654 of the family's 1533-position model. The record is from RNAcentral.